GGAGGUGUAGCUCAGAUGGUGGAGCGCUCGCUUAGCACGUGAGAGGUACGGGGAUCAAUAACCCGCGCCUCCA
Non-coding RNA from Trichonephila clavipes, 73 nucleotides. Lineage: Eukaryota; Metazoa; Arthropoda; Arachnida; Araneae; Nephilidae. The record is from the annotation of a GenBank genome assembly.